This 561-nucleotide long non-coding RNA is filed under the name Pongo abelii (Sumatran orangutan). RNAcentral's name for it is "lincRNA". Lineage: Eukaryota; Metazoa; Chordata; Mammalia; Primates; Hominidae. The record is from RNAcentral.
GCAGAUUGAGGCAGCUUCAUCUCAUUCCUGGUUCAUCCUGAUUCCCUCAGUGGCUUGCUCCUGCAUUAGUAAUGUAAAACUGGCCCAAAGUGUUUAAAAUGGUCAGAAGUUGAUCUUGAUCAGUUCAAAUAUUUUUUGACAAAGAAAAUCAGUUCUGGUCAGUUCAAAUCUAUUUUGACCAGUUUAAACCAAUUCUGCAGAACUUGAGCCUGAGGUCGGUAGGAAGAUGGCUGAAGACUAUGCUGAUUCAAGCCAAAGCAAGGAAUCAGAGAAAGGUAAGAUUCAUUAAGACUUGGGUGAAAAGAGUUAACAUGGGAAGAAUCCUGGAAGACUUCAAGAAGUGGAAUUCAAACUGAAUCCUGAAGAAUAGCUACAGAAAAGUUAUUAAAAAGAAAAAAUCAUGAAGAAAAGAAACAGAAAGUAAAUCAUGGAAUCACCCUGAUCUUCUUUUCCUAUGUAAUCAAGAAAGCCUGGGCAGAGAAUUAUCAGUGAGUCUUUAUCUCUGCUCUGAGCCACCUGAUGCCACAACUAUGACUGCACUGGGUGAGACCUGAAGCAAAC